UUGAAUUAAAAUGAAUUAGAAGUUAGAUGUUAGAUGUUAGCAAUUAGUAGUUAGGAUUGCAAGGAAUUGAAAUUGUAAGAAGAAAAUCAAAUCAUAAUGCUAAAAAAUGAAAUGGCAUAUAAAUAACAUCAAGAUGACAUAAUCGAGAUCAAACGUGUGAAUAAUAUUGAGAAAUUAAAACAAAAAAAAUAUAAUAAAACAAAGAAUAAUAAAAGGAAAUGCAAGGGAGGGUGUACGCUAUCAACACAAGAGGUAAAAGUAUAAAAAAACUAAAGGAAAUAAAAAAAAGAACAAAAAUAAAUAGAUAAAGCAAUAAUAAGAAAAUAAUAAAUAAAAAAAGGACAAAAGAUAAAAACAGACCAGGGGUGUACCUAGAAAAAUG
RNAcentral lists this long non-coding RNA (382 nucleotides) under Lathyrus oleraceus (garden pea). RNAcentral's name for it is "Pisum sativum (pea) long non-coding RNA (PSAT_LNC032348)". Lineage: Eukaryota; Viridiplantae; Streptophyta; Magnoliopsida; Fabales; Fabaceae. The record is from RNAcentral.